GACAGAGGAUGCAAACGUUGCUCGGAAUUACUGGGCGUAAAGCGCGUGUAGGCGGUCUGGUAAGUCGGACGUGAAAUCCCGGGGCUCAACCCCGGAAGUGCGCUCGAUACUGCCGGACUUGGGUUCUGAAGAGGAGAGCGGAAUUCCCGGUGUAGAGGUGAAAUUCGUAGAUAUCGGGAGGAACACCAGUGGCGAAGGCG
RNAcentral lists this ribosomal RNA (200 nucleotides) under uncultured bacterium. Its description in RNAcentral is "partial 16S ribosomal RNA". It matches the Rfam family "Bacterial small subunit ribosomal RNA", at positions 524 to 723 of the family's 1533-position model. The record is from RNAcentral.